This 255-nucleotide small RNA is filed under the name Mus musculus (house mouse). RNAcentral describes it as "predicted gene, 54487 (ENSMUSG00002075919.1)". The record is from RNAcentral. Lineage: Eukaryota; Metazoa; Chordata; Mammalia; Rodentia; Muridae.
GCCGGGCAUGGUGGCGUACGCCUUUAAUCCCAGCACUCGGGAGGCAGAGGCAGGUGGAUUUCUGAGUUUGAGGCCAGCCUGGUCUACAAAGUGAGUUCCAGGACAGCCAGGGCUAUACAGAAAAACCCUGUCUCAAAAACAAAAACAAAAACAAAAACAAACAAAAACCACGGUUUCCCUAUGUAGCUUUUGUCGUCUUGGAACUCACUCUGUAGAUCCGGCUGGCCUCAAACGCAUAGAUAAUUUCCUGCCUCU